RNAcentral lists this ribosomal RNA (112 nucleotides) under Caerostris darwini. Lineage: Eukaryota; Metazoa; Arthropoda; Arachnida; Araneae; Araneidae. The record is from RNAcentral.
AACGGCCAUACCAUGCUGAAGAUACCGGUUCUCGUUAGGUCACCGAAGUCAAGCAUCAUUGGGCGCGGUCAGUACUUGGGUGGGUGACCACCUGGGAACACCGCGUGCCGUU